RNAcentral lists this non-coding RNA (289 nucleotides) under Coprococcus eutactus. RNAcentral's name for it is "T-box sequence". It matches the Rfam family "T-box leader". From Rfam's summary of the family: Uncharged tRNA acts as the effector for transcription antitermination of genes in the T-box leader family. Lineage: Bacteria; Bacillati; Bacillota; Clostridia; Lachnospirales; Lachnospiraceae. The record is from RNAcentral.
GCAAAUGCAAAGAACAGAAUACGGUCGUCAAAGAUCGCAUACUUCAGAGAGCCGCCGGUUGGUGUGAGACGGUGUAUGUCCUUGAUGAUUAUCCUCUGCGAGCAGUACACUGAAUUCCUUGGUCAUGAGAUAUCAGGGACAAUAGGUGUCACCGGUUUUCUACCGUUACAUAGAAGCUUAUUUCAAUAGACAUUGAGUAGUGGUCAGGCGAGAUGAGAUCAGAGAGGUCAUCCUUUUAUGAUGGCAAAUAAAGUGGUAACGCGGAAGUAUACAGGCUUUCGUCUUUAUG